Molecule: long non-coding RNA, 459 nt
Organism: Ornithorhynchus anatinus (platypus)
Lineage: Eukaryota; Metazoa; Chordata; Mammalia; Monotremata; Ornithorhynchidae
Exons: 3
Source: RefSeq, a predicted model, not a curated record
UUCUAAUCCCGGCUUUGCCACGUGUCUGUUGCGUGACCUCGGGCGUCCGACACCCCUGAUCGUGUUGUCACGAACCUUCAUCUCCUCCGCCUCGAUUUGAUAUGAGCCCUUCGGAAUGAUAACCUUUUGGGAUCCAUCACAGACUGCUCCCUUUCUGGAUUCUUUCUUCUGCAUCUGCCUCAGUCUGACUCCACGGGAGGGUUGUACAUAUUUCCGUUUGUACCGGAGAAUUUUCCUCCAACCUCCUCUCCGGUGGAUAAACCCUUUCCAAGCCUGGCGAUGAAUACGUUUGAUUGAGAAAUGGGCGUCGUCAGGCACAAGAGCACCAAAUGGAACUGAGAAAAACGGGAAGCAUCUUCUUCCUUCCUCGGCUUCUCGGUUUCAAAAGCAUUUCUUGGUAAAUCUCAGUCCCGUAAUUACAACUUUAAAAGUGAUGAUUAAACAGUGUUUGCCACCAAA